RNAcentral lists this long non-coding RNA (686 nucleotides) under Zostera marina. RNAcentral's name for it is "long non-coding RNA (ZMAR_LNC004292)". The record is from RNAcentral. Lineage: Eukaryota; Viridiplantae; Streptophyta; Magnoliopsida; Alismatales; Zosteraceae.
UACAUUAUAAAUUGUAAUCGUUUAAACUUUAUCUUUAAAUAUAAGAAUUGUGGAUGUAAUUAGCAUCGAAUUACCGAAAUAACAACUUAGUUCCAACUCCCCUCCGGCUCCCUAGUGGAGAUUUCAUCUCUUCUCCGAUUCCUUCUCGGAAUUUCUAUUUAGCACACUCUGUCUCCGAGCAACUCGAUAAAGCAGAUUAUUACAAGUGCAACUCGAUGAAGCAUCAAUAAAGAGACGCAAUCGAUGAUUAUUUGUCCCACAAAUCUCUAGCCUAUCUUAGCUUGCUCACGAUGGAUCACAAGGGCAACUUUGGUUCCUCAAUUUCGGCUGAUCCUAUCCUCAUUCAGAAGCAGAUCUUUUUACAUGUAAAAAUGUACCAUCUGUACAUUGUAUAUUUUUUAUUCUUCUGUUUUUACAUAAUUAAUUACGCUAUAUUUCUGGUACGGACCGUCCGCACCUGUGGUGAAUGGUGGUCAUCGACGAUUAGGUUCCGAUGAAUGUGUUACCUCGGUGUAACGACAUUCGGCAGCUGUAGUACCGUGCUUGGAAUAACAUUGGAACCCACGAUGUUGUUGAUCGUGGUCGAAUCCAUCGUGUUUCAGACAUCGAAACCCAUGACGGAAUUGAUGUGAUACCUCACUGCAAGCGUCGGAUAGACCGUCCGCACCUGAAACUCUAUGUAAUUA